CCUACGGGAGGCAGCAGUGAGGAAUAUUGGUCAAUGGACGAGAGUCUGAACCAGCCAAGUAGCGUGAAGGAUGACUGCCCUAUGGGUUGUAAACUUCUUUUAUAUGGGAAUAAAAUGUUCCACGUGUGGGAUUUUGUAUGUACCAUAUGAAUAAGGAUCGGCGAACUCCGUGCCAGCAGCCGCGGUAAUACGGAGGAUCCGAGCGUUAUCCGGAUUUAUUUGGUUUAAAGGGAGCGUAGGUGGAUUGUUAAGUCAGUUGUGAAAGUUUGCGGCUCAAACGUAAAAUUGCAGUUGAAACUGGCAGUCUUGAGUACAGUAGAGGUGGGCGGAAGUCGUGGUGUAGCGGUGAAAUGCUUAGAUAUCACGAAGAACUCCGAUUGCGAAGGCAGCUCACUGGACUGCAACUGACACUGAGGCUCGAAAGUGUGGGUAUCAAACAGGAUUAGAUACCCUUGUAGUC
Molecule: ribosomal RNA, 460 nt
Filed under: uncultured bacterium
Lineage: Bacteria
Description: partial 16S ribosomal RNA
Rfam family: Bacterial small subunit ribosomal RNA
Source: RNAcentral